ACAGUUUUGACUGGGCUGAGCGGGAACUGUACUUCCUCAGUGGUAGGGAGGCGAGCAGGCCAGAGGUGGAUGAACGCAGUGCCCUUGUUUGGGUGUAGGGCCUGAUCAGAGCCUGGAGUUACUGAGGUGCCGUUCCCCUCACAGCUCCGUAGGCAAGCACCAUGGUCUUGUAGCGGAUGCGAGCUUCAACUGGAAGCCAGUGGAGAGAGUGGAGGAGCGGGGUGACGUGAGAGAACUUGGGAAGGUUGAACACCAGACGGGCUGCGGCGUUCUGGAUGAGUUGCAGGGGUUUAAUGGCACAGGCAGGGAGCCCAGCCAACAGCGAGUUGCAGUAAUCCAGACGGGAGAUGACAAGUGCCUGGACUAGGACCUGCGCCGCCUCCUGUGUGAGGCAGGGUCGUACUCUGCGGAUGUUGUAGAGCAUGAACCUACAGGAACGGGCCACCGCCUUGAUGUUAGUUGAGAACGACAGGGUGUUGUCCAGGAUCACGCCAAGGUUCUUAGCGCUCUGGGAGGAGGACACAAGGAGAAGGACACAAUGGAGUUGUCAACCAUGAUGGCGAGAUCAUGGAACGGGCAGUCCUUCCCUGGUGAGAUGGUGAGAUGGUGACAUUAUUGGACAUAUAUUGAAACGUUUUUGGGGGAUAUAUAAUUAAAUUCUAAUGAAUUUCUUCAAAUUGCAGGAGACGUAGGAGGUAAAUUCUAAAUUAUUUUAUUGGUUUUAGAACUUAAGCAAAUUUAAAUAAAUUGCACUAACUUCAGUAGCAAGUAGCAGUAGCUUGCUAGCUACCUGCUUAAGUGUGCAGUUUUUGCCGCCAACGCAAAUUUAGUUGACUUUUUGUUGAAGAGCCCCUUCUCUGGGGUACAUGGGGUACAUGGAAAAGGUGCUAAUUAAAACCGAAGGUCGACCUCUGCUUGAGAUCAGUUAUAUGAAGAAGGAUGAAAAGGUAAGGGUGUUCAAUACCAAUUGGUAUCAAAAUUAUAGCUUGUUAACAGGGAGCAUCAAGCCGCCUGUAUUACUGGCCUUGCCUGCUGUUUGGAAAGUCAGCCUUGGGUGAAAGAGGGGUACAGUGACCUGAAGAACAUUGAUCGUUCAGCUAAACGCCCCCCAAAAAAGCAGGGAGCAUAUAAAUGCCCACAUCAAUCAUGACGAAGGUCUGCAUAUUGAAACGAGAAAUUAAGAAGAAACAGGGAUGUUCUCAAGCAACUUAUCAACACCACUGCGUUUUUGGGGAAGCAAGAAUUGGCUUUUAGAGGACACGACAUGAGGGAAAGUUCAGCCAACAAGUGCAACUACAAGGAGCUUGCAGCAGUAAUUGCAUGUUUCAGUGCUUUCCUGGCUGAACAUAUGACACUUUGUACUGUCUACUUUCAACGGUCUUUUUCUGGGAUGUUGAAAUCAAUUCAAUGGCUUCUGUCCAUUAAAAGUUUGAUUAAAGAGAGAGGUUGACGCAGCAAUUUUUUUCAUGCGCGCUCAAGUAGGCUUUCCACUUUCCUCUGGUAUUUAUUUACCAUUGAUGAUAACAGUUUAUGUAUACUGGCUUAAUUUUGCUGGUACCUGCUGUUUUGGCAGUACCUAAUGGGGAUUCAUAAUAAAUGCAAAUAACACAUAAUCACUCUGGACAGACACAAGCAAAAACUCAUUCCAUAAAUGCAGCAGCCUCGGCUACGCCUAAAUAUUAGAGAUCUGACAUGCGGUAUAGGAUGAAAACGAGACCAUUUUUCAGUCUGAUCAACUGUAGGCUACUAAUAAGAGCAGCUGCAUACAGCCUAUGUGCACUGUCCAUCUGGUCAGGGUAAACUAAUUGGUAACGGUAUGUAUUUAUAUUCCAUUUGUGUGUCAGGAGAAAAUGUGAAUGUGAUCAAAUGUGGUUUAUAUUCGAAAUUGGGCUGGCUAGGCUGCCUAUACGUUUUCAAUCCAGAAUGAUUAACUGGAAUUAAUCAAUCAACAUAUUAGUGAUGACAGAUGUGAGUUAAUUUUAAUAAAGGCCUACAGUUGUACAGGCCUGCAUGAUGCAAACAUGCAUAAAGCUAGCUCAACCCAGUGAGUUCUAUAGUCUAUCAGUUGUCUCUGUGUUUGGGUAGAGGGAAUCCCCCUCCUAAUCUAGUCUAAAUAUAAUUCAUAUGAAGUAUAAGGUUGCUGCAGUUUGACAGGGUUUUCACCCCCACCCCCCACCCCCAGGGCGAGGAGUUUUUUUUUUUUAACCAUGUGACCUGAUUUGGAAAAAACGUUCCCAUCAUAGCCCUUAUAAAACCUUUUUACAAGUGAUUAAUCACUGUCAUACCUUAUAGGGUCCAGAGUUAUCCUGGUUAGAUUAACAGACCUAUGGUGCCACCAGUCCGCUUGCAGUUGUCAGUUAUCGUCAGGUAUGUGGAUGAUCAGGAAUUAAUUCAGAAACAUUUAUUUGGCUACUUUGAUGUUUCAAAUGGGCGAGAUGCGCAGUCUGUGUUUAACUUCAUGGACAAACUUGUUGUUCAAACCUACAAUGGCGCAGCUGUAAUGGAAUGUAUCUGCUAUUUGUAUUUACAGCUAAGUCCCCUCCUGUUCCCUUAUUAAGAGGUGAUGACCACUCCACUCCACUACCAUCGUCAACUCUCUCCUGACAUGAACUGAAGCCACGUAUCAUGUGCCCGCUCAUCCACUGGCACAUUGAAUGUUUCCCUAUCAAUUGUCUCUCAUUACUGUAUGUAGAGUCAAUCACACACACAACCAUAAUCACACUAUUACACAUCAAUGAUUUUACUCCUUGCUUGGACUAACUCAUUAUUAGCUCUGUUGUCUAACUGUGUAGUGUGUUGUGUUAUUGUUUUGUGUCUUUCCAGCCAAAACCUAUCCUGCACUAAAGUCAAGCCUCUGAACACCUCAGCUGAUGCCACAUACCCUCAUUCAAUCACUGCUGUGAUUUCUUCCUAACACUGACAACGGGAGGAUACAGAAUGUUAAUACUACACAAGGGUUAAGACUGAAGAAUACAACCCAACAUUGCAGACUGUGAUCACCAUGGAAGUGUGUGUGCGCCAAUCAAACAAUUCCUACUGGUUUUCAAUCUCCCAGCUAUGGCCUCAGAACCUGGCUGGCCUCGUUUAGCUGUGAGAGGGGGAUGACUCCCCUAUUAUCUCUCCCCUGAGAUAACACCGUUAAAGAUACCCACUUUCACUAAACGCAUGGGAGGAUACUUUGAUGUUCCCUUCGCUGGGAAGGAUAUUCCAUGUAUUGCGACAAAGCGAAAAUUCCCAAAACCUCUGAAUUAAUGGCAGACAAGUCCCCGCUUGGGAGAAAAUUACCCAAAGGAAUAAGGAAUAACAUUGUGAAAUAUAAGUAUUACAUUGAUUUAUUUCACCAAAUGUUGUUAAAAUGUUGGACAAAUUACUUUCAUAUACAUUUUUAAUUCAGAUCAGACCGCUAGCUAGUCGAUUUCAUCCUGGUUAUCAGCUGUUUAGCGAUAAACAACUAAACAAACUAAUUGUAAAAUUGUGAAGACCCGUACAGUUUUUUUAUCCUGAAUUGGUUAACUUGCUAGCCAGCUGGUGACAAAUGUAGCAAAUCUUUAUUUUAUGGGGACAGAUGGCAACUGCGUUCAUUUCGCUCCCUGACAUUGGCAGGACAAAAUAGUUUUGGCCAACUGGUUGAGGCAAGACAACAUCUGAUUCAAAUGUAGGAAUUGCAGCUGUGUUCUGUUCAAUCUAGGCUUGCUACCCACCCAAGUUAUUUGUGCAUUCUUACAUGAUCAGUCAAUACACGCAUGCAGUGUCUGUUUACCUAACGUUAGCUAACUUUUAUCUUGUGUAUAAAAUGUGUUAAAUAUUGAAAUGAUCAAUUAAAAGUAAAUUGCUGA
Oncorhynchus keta (chum salmon) is the source of this 3836-nucleotide long non-coding RNA. RefSeq lists it as uncharacterized. The transcript has 4 exons. NCBI's taxonomy places the organism in Eukaryota, Metazoa, Chordata, Actinopteri, Salmoniformes, Salmonidae. The record is from RefSeq and is a predicted model, not a curated record.